This 449-nucleotide ribosomal RNA is filed under the name uncultured bacterium. RNAcentral's name for it is "partial 16S ribosomal RNA". It matches the Rfam family "Bacterial small subunit ribosomal RNA", at positions 29 to 523 of the family's 1533-position model. The record is from RNAcentral.
AACGAACGCUGGCGGCAGGCCUAACACAUGCAAGUCGGGCGAAGCCUUCGGGCUUAGCGGCGGACGGGUGAGUAACGCGUGGGAACGUGCCCUUUGCUACGGAAUAGCCCCGGGAAACUGGGAGUAAUACCGUAUGUGCCCUUCGGGGGAAAGAUUUAUCGGCAAAGGAUCGGCCCGCGUUGGAUUAGGUAGUUGGUGGGGUAAUGGCCUACCAAGCCGACGAUCCAUAGCUGGUUUGAGAGGAUGAUCAGCCACACUGGGACUGAGACACGGCCCAGACUCCUGCGGGAGGCAGCAGUGGGGACUCUUAGACAAUGGGCGGAAGCCUGAUCUAGCCAUGCCGCGUGAUCGAUGCCGGCCUUAGGGUUGUAAAGAUCUUUCAGGUGGGAAGAUAAUGACUGUACCACCAGAAGAAGCCCCGGCUAACUCCGUGCCAGCCGCCGCGGUAA